GUGCUCACUUUGGCAGCACAUAUACUAAAAUUUCACCAAUAGAUAGAAGAUUAGCAUGGCUCUUACACAAGGA
This 73-nucleotide small nuclear RNA is filed under the name Erinaceus europaeus (western European hedgehog). Lineage: Eukaryota; Metazoa; Chordata; Mammalia; Eulipotyphla; Erinaceidae. The record is from RNAcentral.